GCCAGCUGCACCCCAACUUCUUUGUCUUCUUUUUACAAACUUGACUGUGACCACGUUGCUGCUCUAGUCAAAGCUCAUCUCUGGGGAAGCCUGAGGGUGCCUCCAUUGUCCCCGGACCCAGCCUCCCCAUGGUGCUCUGGGCUGGCUCUUUGCACCCUCACCAUGUCCAUGUCCUGCCCUUGGCCGCAUUCUGUUCAUUUGGAUCCUUCCGUCUGAAUCACCUUUCCUGUCUAUCUCUACUCAGUUCAUCCUGCUUAUCUUUCAAACUCUUAGGUAAUGUUCAUCUCCUGUACCCCUAGGCCUUCAGGAUGCUCCCUAGGCCACCUGCGUGUGGUGUCUCCACUCCACAGCCCAGGAUGCAACCCACAUCUGUGGAGGUCAGGGGGAGACACAGCUCCAGGAGAAGUCUGAGGUCCCAGGGACUGGCAAAGCCACAGGAUGAAAGGAACUUGAGGCUCUCCUUCACUACCUGCAGGAAAAGCACCUGUCGCAACAAGGAGCCCUUGCACUGAAUGGUUGCAUAAGUAACUACCCACCUUCUAUUGCAUGCCUGGCACAUGCUAACCAAGCUUUACCUCUGAGGAGCUCACAGACCAACAUUCCUCUGGAGGAGGGAGCAGGUUUUGAUGAAACACACCCACCAAGAAAAAUGCUGUGACAGGUUGUGAGGUUGGAAGUUGAAACAGAAGCAUCAAGUUCUAAUAGAUCCUGCCCUGUUAAGUGAAGUCCCCGGAACAAGAUGCCGUUUCAAGGGAAACGGAUCUGGGCUUUUAAAACUCUCUACUCACGAUGAGAAUAUAAAAAGAUGGGUCCGGGAGAACAAAGGGAGAGAUUUUGGGGGAUGAUUCCUUGGGAAGAAGUGUACCCAGCCCUUUUGCUAGCAUGUUGGGGGGGCAUGAAGAGAUCCCUCCUCCACCUCAUCCAAGUUGCUGUA
Long non-coding RNA from Homo sapiens (human), 934 nucleotides. RefSeq lists it as uncharacterized. Lineage: Eukaryota; Metazoa; Chordata; Mammalia; Primates; Hominidae. The transcript is spliced from 4 exons. The record is from RefSeq and is a predicted model, not a curated record.